This 2921-nucleotide ribosomal RNA is filed under the name Staphylococcus aureus. Its description in RNAcentral is "bacterial LSU rRNA". It matches the Rfam family "Bacterial large subunit ribosomal RNA". RNAcentral also lists the same sequence under 20 other names. Lineage: Bacteria; Bacillati; Bacillota; Bacilli; Caryophanales; Staphylococcaceae. The record is from RNAcentral.
UUAAGUUAUUAAGGGCGCACGGUGGAUGCCUUGGCACUAGAAGCCAAUGAAGGACGUUACUAACGACGAUAUGCUUUGGGGAGCUGUAAGUAAGCUUUGAUCCAGAGAUUUCCGAAUGGGGAAACCCAGCAUGAGUUAUGUCAUGUUAUCGAUAUGUGAAUACAUAGCAUAUCAGAAGGCACACCCGGAGAACUGAAACAUCUUAGUACCCGGAGGAAGAGAAAGAAAAUUCGAUUCCCUUAGUAGCGGCGAGCGAAACGGGAAGAGCCCAAACCAACAAGCUUGCUUGUUGGGGUUGUAGGACACUCUAUACGGAGUUACAAAGGACGACAUUAGACGAAUCAUCUGGAAAGAUGAAUCAAAGAAGGUAAUAAUCCUGUAGUCGAAAAUGUUGUCUCUCUUGAGUGGAUCCUGAGUACGACGGAGCACGUGAAAUUCCGUCGGAAUCUGGGAGGACCAUCUCCUAAGGCUAAAUACUCUCUAGUGACCGAUAGUGAACCAGUACCGUGAGGGAAAGGUGAAAAGCACCCCGGAAGGGGAGUGAAAUAGAACCUGAAACCGUGUGCUUACAAGUAGUCAGAGCCCGUUAAUGGGUGAUGGCGUGCCUUUUGUAGAAUGAACCGGCGAGUUACGAUUUGAUGCAAGGUUAAGCAGUAAAUGUGGAGCCGUAGCGAAAGCGAGUCUGAAUAGGGCGUUUAGUAUUUGGUCGUAGACCCGAAACCAGGUGAUCUACCCUUGGUCAGGUUGAAGUUCAGGUAACACUGAAUGGAGGACCGAACCGACUUACGUUGAAAAGUGAGCGGAUGAACUGAGGGUAGCGGAGAAAUUCCAAUCGAACCUGGAGAUAGCUGGUUCUCUCCGAAAUAGCUUUAGGGCUAGCCUCAAGUGAUGAUUAUUGGAGGUAGAGCACUGUUUGGACGAGGGGCCCCUCUCGGGUUACCGAAUUCAGACAAACUCCGAAUGCCAAUUAAUUUAACUUGGGAGUCAGAACAUGGGUGAUAAGGUCCGUGUUCGAAAGGGAAACAGCCCAGACCACCAGCUAAGGUCCCAAAAUAUAUGUUAAGUGGAAAAGGAUGUGGCGUUGCCCAGACAACUAGGAUGUUGGCUUAGAAGCAGCCAUCAUUUAAAGAGUGCGUAAUAGCUCACUAGUCGAGUGACACUGCGCCGAAAAUGUACCGGGGCUAAACAUAUUACCGAAGCUGUGGAUUGUCCUUUGGACAAUGGUAGGAGAGCGUUCUAAGGGCGUUGAAGCAUGAUCGUAAGGACAUGUGGAGCGCUUAGAAGUGAGAAUGCCGGUGUGAGUAGCGAAAGACGGGUGAGAAUCCCGUCCACCGAUUGACUAAGGUUUCCAGAGGAAGGCUCGUCCGCUCUGGGUUAGUCGGGUCCUAAGCUGAGGCCGACAGGCGUAGGCGAUGGAUAACAGGUUGAUAUUCCUGUACCACCUAUAAUCGUUUUAAUCGAUGGGGGGACGCAGUAGGAUAGGCGAAGCGUGCGAUUGGAUUGCACGUCUAAGCAGUAAGGCUGAGUAUUAGGCAAAUCCGGUACUCGUUAAGGCUGAGCUGUGAUGGGGAGAAGACAUUGUGUCUUCGAGUCGUUGAUUUCACACUGCCGAGAAAAGCCUCUAGAUAGAAAAUAGGUGCCCGUACCGCAAACCGACACAGGUAGUCAAGAUGAGAAUUCUAAGGUGAGCGAGCGAACUCUCGUUAAGGAACUCGGCAAAAUGACCCCGUAACUUCGGGAGAAGGGGUGCUCUUUAGGGUUAACGCCCAGAAGAGCCGCAGUGAAUAGGCCCAAGCGACUGUUUAUCAAAAACACAGGUCUCUGCUAAACCGUAAGGUGAUGUAUAGGGGCUGACGCCUGCCCGGUGCUGGAAGGUUAAGAGGAGUGGUUAGCUUCUGCGAAGCUACGAAUCGAAGCCCCAGUAAACGGCGGCCGUAACUAUAACGGUCCUAAGGUAGCGAAAUUCCUUGUCGGGUAAGUUCCGACCCGCACGAAAGGCGUAACGAUUUGGGCACUGUCUCAACGAGAGACUCGGUGAAAUCAUAGUACCUGUGAAGAUGCAGGUUACCCGCGACAGGACGGAAAGACCCCGUGGAGCUUUACUGUAGCCUGAUAUUGAAAUUCGGCACAGCUUGUACAGGAUAGGUAGGAGCCUUUGAAACGUGAGCGCUAGCUUACGUGGAGGCGCUGGUGGGAUACUACCCUAGCUGUGUUGGCUUUCUAACCCGCACCACUUAUCGUGGUGGGAGACAGUGUCAGGCGGGCAGUUUGACUGGGGCGGUCGCCUCCUAAAAGGUAACGGAGGCGCUCAAAGGUUCCCUCAGAAUGGUUGGAAAUCAUUCAUAGAGUGUAAAGGCAUAAGGGAGCUUGACUGCGAGACCUACAAGUCGAGCAGGGUCGAAAGACGGACUUAGUGAUCCGGUGGUUCCGCAUGGAAGGGCCAUCGCUCAACGGAUAAAAGCUACCCCGGGGAUAACAGGCUUAUCUCCCCCAAGAGUUCACAUCGACGGGGAGGUUUGGCACCUCGAUGUCGGCUCAUCGCAUCCUGGGGCUGUAGUCGGUCCCAAGGGUUGGGCUGUUCGCCCAUUAAAGCGGUACGCGAGCUGGGUUCAGAACGUCGUGAGACAGUUCGGUCCCUAUCCGUCGUGGGCGUAGGAAAUUUGAGAGGAGCUGUCCUUAGUACGAGAGGACCGGGAUGGACAUACCUCUGGUGUACCAGUUGUCGUGCCAACGGCAUAGCUGGGUAGCUAUGUGUGGACGGGAUAAGUGCUGAAAGCAUCUAAGCAUGAAGCCCCCCUCAAGAUGAGAUUUCCCAACUUCGGUUAUAAGAUCCCUCAAAGAUGAUGAGGUUAAUAGGUUCGAGGUGGAAGCAUGGUGACAUGUGGAGCUGACGAAUACUAAUCGAUCGAAGACUUAAUCAA